GGAAGUUGUCGGGUCAUAGAGUGUUUAUGAAUUGGAGAAGGAAAUGGCAACCCACUCCAGUGUUCUUGCUUGGAGAAUCCCAGGGAUGGGGGAGCCUGUUGGGCUGCCGUCUCUGGGGUCACACAGAGUUGGACACGACUGAAGCGACUUAGCAGCAGCAGCAGCAGAGUGUUUAUGAACAUGAGGAUCCUGUGUCAUUCGGACAGACAGCCGUGCAAGGUAGACAGAAGAAGUGAAGAAGUGAAGUCGCUCAGUCGUGUCGGACUCUUUGCGACCCUGUAGACUGUAGCCUGCCAGGAUCCUCUGUCCAUGGGAUUCUCCAGGCAAGAAUACUGGAGUGGGUUGCCAUUUCCUUCUCCAGAGGAUCUUCCCAACCCAGGGACUGAACCUGCAUCUCCUGCAUUUCAGGCAGACGCUUUAUCCUCUGAGCCACCAGGGAAGGUAGACAAAACUGAUAUUCUAUUUCAUCCUUGAAGAAGCUAAGAAGUUAGAUGAUGAGCCCAAGGUCCCCCUGCUGCUGGAUUCUUAACCACUGGACCACGAGGGAAAUCCCUGAUGGCUGGAUAUAAUUUAGAUAUGUGGAGACACGGAAGAGUUUUAAGAAGAGGAAAAAGCAUCAUCUCACAUGGCGACAGAGGAUGAGAUGGUUGGAUGGCAUCAAUGACUCAAUGGACAUGAGUUUGAACAAACUCUGGGAGAUGGUGAAGGACAAGGGAGCCUGGCCUGCUGCAGCCCAUAGGGUCGCAGUCAGACUCGACUUAGCUGCUGAACAACAAUAACACAUCAGCUUGGGUUUAAGUGUAAGUCAGGAUCCAAUCAUUACAUUUGCCUUAGAGGCAGAGAUGACCUGCAU
This is a long non-coding RNA of Bos taurus (domestic cattle), 853 nucleotides long. Lineage: Eukaryota; Metazoa; Chordata; Mammalia; Artiodactyla; Bovidae. The record is from Ensembl.